This 1006-nucleotide ribosomal RNA is filed under the name uncultured organism. RNAcentral's name for it is "bacterial SSU rRNA". It matches the Rfam family "Bacterial small subunit ribosomal RNA", at positions 46 to 1068 of the family's 1533-position model. The record is from RNAcentral.
GCUUAACACAUGCAAGUCGAACGGGAACCUUUGGAUUCGUCUGAAGGGGAGAGUGGCGAACGGGUGAGUAACACGUGGGUGACCUGCCUCGAAGACGGGGAUAACCACUGGAAACGGUGGCUAAUACCCGAUGGUCUCGAUAAUUCGGUUUAUCGAGUAAAGGCUCCGGCGCUUUGAGAGGGACCUGCUGGCCAUCAGCUAGUUGGUAGGGUAAUGGCCUACCAAGGCAAAGACGGGUAGGGGGCGUGAGAGCGUGACCCCCCACACUGGCACUGGGACACGGGCCAAACUCCUACGGGAGGCAGCAGUGAGGAAUAUUGCGCAAUGAGCGAAAGCUAGACGCAGCAACGCCGCGUGGGUGAUGAAGGCCUUCGGGUCGUAAAACCCUUUUCUGGGGGAAGAGUAAGGACGGUAUCCCAGGAAUAAGCCUCGGCUAACUAUGUGCCAGCAGCCGCGGUAAUACAUAGGAUGCAAGCGUUAUCCGGAUUUACUGGGCGUAAAGAGCGUUGAGGCGGCUACGUAAGUUGGACGUGAAAGCUCCCGGCUUAACUGGGAGAGGCCGUUCAAUACUGCGGGGCUUGAGGACAGCAGAGGGGGGUGGAAUUUCCGGUGUAGUGGUGAAAUGCGUAGAUAUCGGAAGGAACACCAGUGGCGAAUGCGGCCCCCUGGGCUGCUCCUGACGCUGAAGGCGAAAGCUAGGGUAGCGAACGGGAUUAGAAACCCCGGUAGUCCUAGCCGUAAACGAUGGAUACUAGGUGUAGGAGCUUAAAAUUCCUUCUGUGCCGGAGCUAACGCGUUAAGUAUCCCGCCUGGGGAGUACGGUCGCAAGGCUAGGACUCAAAGGAAUCGACGGGGGCCCGCACAAGCAGCGGAGCGUGUGGUUUAAUUCGAUGCAACGCGAAGAACCUUACCAGGGCUUGACAUGUAGGUAGUAGUGAAGCGACAGCGGAACGAUCCUUCGGGAAGCCUACACAGGUGCUGCAUGGCUGUCGUCAGCUCGUGCCGU